Molecule: ribosomal RNA, 460 nt
Filed under: uncultured bacterium
Lineage: Bacteria
Description: partial 16S ribosomal RNA
Rfam family: Bacterial small subunit ribosomal RNA
Source: RNAcentral
CCUACGGGAGGCAGCAGUGAGGAAUAUUGGUCAAUGGGCGUAAGCCUGAACCAGCCAAGUCGCGUGAGGGAUGAAGGUUCUAUGGAUUGUAAACCUCUUUUAUAAGGGAAUAAAGUGCGGGACGUGUCCCGUUUUGUAUGUACCUUAUGAAUAAGGAUCGGCUAACUCCGUGCCAGCAGCCGCGGUACUACGGAGGAGCCGAGCGUUGUCCGGAUUUAUUGGGUUUAAAGGGUGCGUAGGUGGACUGUUAAGUCAGCUGUGAAAUUCUGUGGCUCAACCAUAGAAUUGCCGUUGAAACUGGCAGGCUUGAGUAUGGUUGAGGCAGGCGGAAUUCGUGGUGUAGCGGUGAAAUGCUUAGAUAUCACGCAGAACCCCGAUUGCGAAGGCAGCCUGCCAAACCAUGACUGACGCUGAUGCACGAAAGCGUGGGGAUCAAACAGGAUUAGAUACCCCGGUAGUC